AGCAAGCUCUAGGAUGUACAAGUCUCUAAAGCGACAGAUAACGUCAGUUCCACGUCGGAGUUGGAGCCGUACAUCGGCGAAGAGAUGCCAGUGAGACAAUGGAUGGAAACGGUACCGACACCGACGCUUCACCCACUUGUACUUUCUCUCUCUCUAUUUAUCUCUUUCCCCCAAAAAUUUCACCGAUAAACAAACCCUAGAUGGGCGACGACUUAGCUUUGAUCAAUUCUCCGUCUCCGGCCACCGUAGCUGGAGCCACUCAGACUCCGUCUUCUCGUCCGCUUCCUUUCCGUGAGGAUUGUUGGAGCGAGGAUGCAACAUCGACGCUGGUCGACGCUUGGGGCCGCCGUUACCUUGAGCUUAACCGUGGCAACCUCCGUCAAAAGGAUUGGCAGGAGGUCGCCGAUGCCGUUAACGCUCGUCAUGGUCAUACGAAGAAAACCAGGCGUACCGAUGUUCAGUGCAAAAACCGAAUCGACACUCUUAAGAAGAAGUAUAAGGUUGAAAAAGCUAGGGUUUCUGAAUCCAACGGGCAAAUUACUAGUACUUGGCCGUUUUACUCUCGCCUGGACACGUUAAUCGGAUCGGCUGCAACUGCGAAGAAGUCGUCUUCGUCAUCACCGCCGACAGCCGUUCCCUUACCCUACCGAAAACCACCUUCGACGGUGUUGUCUUCUCAAUUUCAACAGCCUGUCGUUCUCCCUCAGAAACGACCGCUGCCGGUGGCUGCGGCUGUCGAUGACUCCUAUUUUCGGAGGAAUUACUCAGCUGUUGCUGCCGCUGCUGCAGCCGCGGAGGAGGAUGGAUCAGAGGACGACGAGUCGCUGGGGACUAGCGAGGACGACGGUGCUGCAGGAGGGGAGGGAGUGAGGAAGGAGGGUGGAGGGGAUUCCGACUGCAUGAAGCGGUUGGCAAGGGCUAUUGAGAGGUUCGGAGAGAUUUAUGAGAGGGUUGAGGGAGAGAAGCAGAAACAGAUGAUUGAAUUGGAGAAGCAGAGGAUGCAAUUCACUAAAGAUUUGGAAGUUCAGAGGAUGCAGCUGUUCAUGGAUACCCAGGUUCAGCUGGAGAAGAUUAAGCAAGCAAAGAGGACAGUUUCUGAUGAUGAUGUUUACAGUUAGCCUCCAUCUUUCACCAUGCGACAAGAAAGAGGAAUGAAGUGAUUCAGUGUCUUGUUUUCUGGCCUUCUGAAUAAAGUUGAGCAACAUUGGUGCACCGCUCUCCACUCUUGGAUGAUUUCUAUAUCCGAUGAAUGCGGUAGUCCUACAUAUAUAAGGUCUGUAUUCAACAUUUACCAGGUAAACAUGUUCUUUCUCACAAUAUAUGCUAGGGUUCAUAUUAUUUUGCUUUAAUUGUUCAGGAUCAGAGGGAUCGAAGACUAGCAUAUUUGCAUAUCAGAUUGUGAAAGGUAAGAACAAAUGUUAUAUGCUUUCACACUAGUACAAGUUUUUGACUAACCUUCACAUCACGAUUUGGGUGAAUGUUGAAGUUGAGGAGUCUCUUCUU
This is an RNA transcript of Cynara cardunculus var. scolymus (artichoke), 1503 nucleotides long. It is a transcript of the gene named trihelix transcription factor ASIL2-like, with no coding region annotated. The record is from RefSeq and is a predicted model, not a curated record. Lineage: Eukaryota; Viridiplantae; Streptophyta; Magnoliopsida; Asterales; Asteraceae. The transcript is spliced from 3 exons.